UAGGGAAUCUACCGCAAUGGACGAAAGUCUGACGGAGCAACGCCGCGUGAGUAAUGAAGGUUUUCGGAUCGUAAAACUCUGUUGUUAGGGAAGAACAAGUACAAGAGUAACUGCUUGUACCUUGACGGUACCUAACCAGAAAGCCACGGCUAACUACGUGCCAGCAGCCGCGGUGAUACGUAGGUGGCAAGCGUUGUCCGGAAUUAUUGGGCGUAAAGCGCGCGCAGGCGGUCCUUUAAGUCUGAUGUGAAAGCCCACGGCUCAACCGUGGAGGGUCAUUGGAAACUGAGGGACUUGAGUGCAGAAGAGAAGAGUGGGAUUCCACGUGUAGCGGUGAAAUGCGUAGAGAUGUGGAGGAACACCAGUGGCGAAGGCGACUCUUUGGUCUGUAACUGACGCUGAGGCGCGAAAGCGUGGGGAGCAAACAG
This 428-nucleotide ribosomal RNA is filed under the name uncultured bacterium. RNAcentral's name for it is "bacterial SSU rRNA". It matches the Rfam family "Bacterial small subunit ribosomal RNA", at positions 355 to 775 of the family's 1533-position model. The record is from RNAcentral.